This is a long non-coding RNA of Neopelma chrysocephalum (saffron-crested tyrant-manakin), 597 nucleotides long. RefSeq lists it as uncharacterized. The record is from RefSeq and is a predicted model, not a curated record. The transcript has 3 exons. NCBI's taxonomy places the organism in Eukaryota, Metazoa, Chordata, Aves, Passeriformes, Pipridae.
GUACUUUGGGGAGGGGCUUUGUGGGGCGGCAGUUAAACAUCUGCGCCAUGAAACAUGUGUCUCCUGUUCUGGGGGACCUGAAGAAUUGAUGUGCUCAGAGUAACUGUCCAAUAUUGGACCUGUUGGAGCUGCUGGAAUUCUGUCUGGUGUCCUGCUUCUGUCUGGCCCUGCACCUUGCUCUCCUGUGGUCUGUGCAUAGCUUAGUUGUCUUUGGGGCUCUGUUUCCACAUCCAAGGUGUUGGGCCACAGUGGUUCACUGUCCCAACUUGCUCCUGUUCACAGGAUCUAAGGCAGUCCCAGAUUCCCAUCAGCUCUCCUGGGAUUGCACAAGCUCCUUCUCCUGGGGACAGGGACACAGCUGGGAGAGGAAAGGUGACAUUGACUGCCUGGGAGCAGGGAGGCACACCCAGCAGAGCCUCUGGGAAGCGACAAACUGUAUCUGCAGCAGGUUUCUUUGGUCAGACUGUUUCCUCCCAGACUGUGCAGAGGUGUCUGGUUCUUUGUCUUUAUGGAAAUGACAUGUGUGAUUGCGUGAGGCAGAGCAGGUCUGUGUGCCAGUAGAUUGCUUAGGAAAGGAAAAGGAUCGGAAAAGCACAC